Molecule: long non-coding RNA, 293 nt
Filed under: Homo sapiens (human)
Lineage: Eukaryota; Metazoa; Chordata; Mammalia; Primates; Hominidae
Description: HSALNT0310459
Source: RNAcentral
CUAGGGCCUGACUUGACAGGAUAAAAGAUGAAGAAGGGAAGUCACUUGCUUCAUGGCCAGGGAAGGGCUCCAGCAAGACAUGGGCUCCUGAAAGUGACAGUGUGUGAAGGCCCGGAGAGGCACAGGACCUGCUGGAGGAUGCCAAAGUAAACUUGGUGGCCACAUGUCAAAGACGGAGAUGCACAAAAUGGGAGGAACCUAGAUCCCUGAAUGACUUUGUGGAGCUGAGCCCCUAGGCCACCCUGCAUUGGAUGUGAAAUGAGUGAGAAAUAAACCUUUGGAGUUUCAAUCCA